AGUGAACGCUGGCGGCGUGCCUAAUACAUGCAAGUCGAACGGAAUUUAAAAGAGCUUGCUCUUUUAAAUUUAGUGGCGCACGGGUGAGUAAUAUAUAGCUAAUCUGCCCCUUGCUGGAGGACAACAGUUAGAAAUGACUGCUAAUACUCCAUACUCCUUUUUACCAUAAGAUAAAUCGGGAAAGAAUUUCGGCAAGGGAUGAGACUAUAUCGUAUCAGCUAGUCGGUGGGGUAACGGCCUACCGAGGCUAUGACGCGUAACUGGUCUGAGAGGAUGAUCAGUCACAUUGGAACUGAGACACGGUCCAAACUCCUACGGGAGGCAGCAGUAGGGAAUAUUGCGCAAUGGGGGAAACCCUGACGCAGCAACGCCGCGUGGAGGAUGACACUUUUCGGAGCGUAAACUCCUUUUGUUAGGGAAGAAUAAAGACGGACCUAACGAAAGCCCCGG
This 450-nucleotide ribosomal RNA is filed under the name Campylobacter gracilis. RNAcentral's name for it is "bacterial SSU rRNA". It matches the Rfam family "Bacterial small subunit ribosomal RNA", at positions 29 to 496 of the family's 1533-position model. The record is from RNAcentral. Lineage: Bacteria; Pseudomonadati; Campylobacterota; Epsilonproteobacteria; Campylobacterales; Campylobacteraceae.